This 1360-nucleotide long non-coding RNA is filed under the name Homo sapiens (human). RNAcentral's name for it is "non-protein coding lnc-C6orf201-12:1". Lineage: Eukaryota; Metazoa; Chordata; Mammalia; Primates; Hominidae. The record is from RNAcentral.
UAUUUUAAAACUUGUCUAUAUUUGAGGUAUACAAUGUGGUGUUCUGAUAAUACAUAUAUAUGGUGAAGUGAUUACUAUAGUUAAUUAAUAUAUUCGUCGUCUCACAUACUAUGUUAGUCCUUUCUCACACUGCUAUAAUAAAGAGUUACCUGAGACUGGGUAAUUUAUAAAGGAAAGGAGGGUUAAUUGUACCUUGGCCCCUUUUAGCCACAGCUGGAGCUGAAGCAGCUGGGACACAGGGCACCAAGUCCUGAGACUACACAGAGCUGGGGGGCCCUGGGCCUGGCACAAAAAUUAUUUUUUCCUCCUAGGCCUCUGGGCCUCUGAUGGGAGAGGCUGCCACCAAGAUCUCUGACAUGCCCUGGAGGCAUUUCCCCCAUUAUCUUGGUGAUUAACAUUGGCUACUCGUUACUUAUGCAAAUUUCUGCAGCAGGCUUGAAUUUCUCCCCAGAAAAUGGGGUUUUCUUUUUUUAUUGCAUUGUCAGACUGCAAAUUUUCCAAACUUUUAUGCUCUGCUUCCCUUUUAAAUGUAAGUUCCAAUUUCAGAUAAUCUCUAUCAAGUUCAAAAGUCCACAGAUCUCUAGGGCAAGGGCAAAAUGCCACCAGUCUCUUUGCUAAGGCAUAGCAAGAGUGACCUUUGCUUCAGUUCCCAGUAAGUUCUUCAUCUCCAUAUGAGACCACCUCAGCCUGGACUUCAUUGUCCAUAUUACUAUCAGCAUUUUGGUCAAAACCAUUCAACAAGUCUCUAGGAAGUUUCAUACUUUUCCACAUAUUUCUGUCUUCUUCUGAGCCCUCCAAACUGUUCCAAUCUCUACCCAGUUCCAAAGUCUUUUCCAUAUUUUCAGUUAUCUUUAUAGCAGUACCCCGCUGUGCUGGUACCAAUUCUCUGUAUUAGUCUAUUUUCACACUGCUAUAAAGAUACUACCUGAGACUGGGUAAUUUACAAAGAAAAGAGAUUUAAUUAACUCACAGUUUUGCAAGGCUGAGGAGGCCUCAGGAAACUUCCAAUUAUGGCAGAAGGCGAAACAGGCACCUUCUUCACAAGGUGGCAGCAAAGUGAACCCUUGUGAAGAAGGAACUGUCAAACACGCAUAAAACCAUUAGAUCUUGUGAGAACUCACUAUCACGACAACUGCAUGGGGAAACCACCCCAUGAUUCAAUCACCUCCCAUGAGGUCCUUCCCUAAACUCCUGGAGAUUACAAUUUGAGAUGAGAUUUGGGUGGGGACACAAAGUCAAACCAUAUCACAAAGUUAAUCUUUCCUUUUAGUUAAUCUUGUAGGAUUACCUAAGAUAGACCCUUCUGGCAAAUUUCCAGCAUACAGUACAAUAUUAUUAAUAAUCUUCACAUUGUACACUA